Molecule: non-coding RNA, 291 nt
Organism: Cinara cedri
Lineage: Eukaryota; Metazoa; Arthropoda; Insecta; Hemiptera; Aphididae
Source: the annotation of a GenBank genome assembly
GAAAGCGGCAAUUAUAUUAAGGCGUAGUGUUUAGGCAAUUUCUGAUGUUGUCCUCUCCAGUUAUCUCUGUGUUAGUCGUAAAUCCUCUUAAGUGUUAGUUAGAGGUGAUUAGUGAGUGAGUGAGUUGGUUGGUUCAAAGAAUUUACUCUUCUGGGUGAAUUGAUUCGAUGAGGUAUAAUUCAGUAACUCAAUGAUUGUGUGUUAUCACAUCAGUUCCUGAAUUAUUUGUGAUUUACAGAUUUACAGUUAAUUGGUUUUAACUGAUGAGUACCUAUUGGUUAACUUACUCAU